RNAcentral lists this ribosomal RNA (650 nucleotides) under Harmoniella junipericola. RNAcentral's name for it is "eukaryotic LSU rRNA". The stretch from base 200 to 353 matches the Rfam family "5.8S ribosomal RNA". The record is from RNAcentral. Lineage: Eukaryota; Fungi; Ascomycota; Pezizomycetes; Pezizales; Strobiloscyphaceae.
UUGGGGACCUGCGGAGGAUCAUUAACAAGUCGGGCGAAAGCCCCCCUCUGUUUGUCCUCACACCUCUGCGUACCCAACCACGUUGCUUCCGAGGGACAGCCCUUCGGGGCCCGCCUGUCUCUGGCGGAGUCGCCCUCGGGAGGUAUACCGAACUCAUGUUGUUUUGAUUUCUGUCUGAAUGUGAAACUAUAACAGUUAAAACUUUCAACAACGGAUCUCUUGGUUCUCGCAUCGAUGAAGAACGCAGCGAAAUGCGAUAAGUAGUGUGAAUUGCAGAAUUCAGUGAAUCAUCGAAUCUUUGAACGCACAUUGCGCCCUCUGGUAUUCCGGGGGGCAUGCCUGUUCGAGCGUCAUCAAACAAACCUCAAGCUGUCUUUGCUUGGUAUUGGAGGUGGACGGGACAACCGCCCCCUCUCAAAGCGAUCUGGCGGAAAGCCCUGUCGGCCCAGGCGUAGUAAUAAUCUUAUAUCGUUUAGGUCGGCGGCGGUGUUCUUGCCGUACAACCCCCAAUCUACCAAUAGUUUGACCUCGGAUCAGGUAGGGAUACCCGCUGAACUUAAGCAUAUCAAUAAGCGGAGGAAAAGAAACCAACAGGGAUUGCCUUAGUAACUGCGAGUGAAGCGGCAUCAGCUCAAAUUUGAAAUCUGGCG